UUCCGGUUGAUCCUGCCGGACCUGACUGCUAUCGGAUUGAUACUAAGCCAUGCGAGUCUUUGUAGUAAUACAAGGCAGACGGCUCAGUAACACGUAGUCAACCUACCCUAUGGACGAGAAUAAUCUCGGGAAACUGAGCAUAAUUCUUGAUAGAUCAUAAUGCCUGGAAUGGUUUAUGGUUAAAAUGAUUCGUCGCCAUAGGAUGGGACUGCGGCCUAUCAGCUUGUUGGUGAGGUAAUGGCCCACCAAGGCGAUUACAGGUACGGGCUCUGAGAGGAGAAGCCCGGAGAUGGGUACUGAGACACGGACCCAGGCCCUAUGGGGCGCAGCAGGCGAGAAAACUUUGCAAUGUGCGAAAGCACGACAAGGUUAAUCCGAGUGAUUUCUGCUAAAGAAAUCUUUUGCCAGUCGUAAAACCACUGGUGAAUAAGGGGUGGGCAAGUUCUGGUGUCAGCCGCCGCGGUAAAACCAGCACCUCAAGUGGUCAGGAUGAUUAUUGGGCCUAAAGCAUCCGUAGCCGGCUUUGUAAGUUUUCGGUUAAAUCCAUGUGCUUAACGCAUGGGCUGCCGAAAAUACUGCAUGGCUAGGGAGUGGGAGAGGUAGACGGUACUCAGUAGGAAGGGGUAAAAUCCUUUGAUCUAUUGAUGACCACCUGUGGCGAAGGCGGUCUACCAGAACACGUUCGACGGUGAGGGAUGAAAGCUGGGGGAGCAAACCGGAUUAGAUACCCGGGUAGUCCAGCUGUAAACGAUGCAGACUCGAUGAUGCAUUGGCAUAAUAGCCAUUGCAGUGUCGCAGGGAAGCCGUUAAGUCAGCCGCCUGGGGAGUACGGUCGCAAGACUGAAACUUAAGGAAUUGGCGGGGGAGCACCACAAGGGGUGAAGCCUGCGGUUCAAUUGGAGUCAACGCCGGG
Molecule: ribosomal RNA, 913 nt
Filed under: uncultured marine archaeon
Lineage: Archaea
Description: bacterial SSU rRNA
Rfam family: Archaeal small subunit ribosomal RNA
Source: RNAcentral